UGGGAUAAGUUAAUUGAAACCUCAGGCCAUACUGAAGCCCAAGCUACUUGAAGCCUCUUGCAUAAUCGGUUGCGGUCAGACUAAGUUAAUUGAAACCUCUGGCAUAACUGAAGUCUAAGAUACUUGAAGCCUCUAGCAUAAUCGGUUGUGGUCAGGCUAAGUCAGGUGAAACCUCUGGCCUAAUUGAAAACUAAAUAUAAAUGCACCUUUGACAUCUCAGCCAAGUUAACAUACCUAUGAUACGGUCAAUUUGACAUACCUCUGACUUUAAAUGAUUUAAUUAAACUUAUCACUAAACAAAUAUCUGACAUGAUAUACCUGGGGUUAAGCCAGUAUGUGUUCAAGAUUAACGAGACCCCUCAAAUCAUUAAGGCCCGACUUGUUGGGGCUUUAAACCUAUAUUGAACAAACUUCAGCUAAAAGAUAAGAUGACUCGCUUGGAGUCAGCCAUAUUAUCUGAUUUUCAUUCAAACAAAUCAGUUGUUAUUGCCGCUACGCGAAAACUGACCAACAAUGUCAACUGACACAGAGUCACCACCGGAUGUUAUUUAUUCCUAUAUAAAGAGAAAAGGGAAAAUAGUCGAUAAAACCCUCUAGAGAAAAGAAUAUGGAAAUGAUUGGUCUCGCAACCAAAUUUAGGGUUUGGAAGUCGGUUAUGCGAAAGGACAGUAUUAACACCUCUCACAUUCAUCGUACUCGAUGAGAACCGUCUAAGUUGUCUAUGUGUGUGGGUGUUUAUAUUAAUGCUUAUUUGUUAUCAGGAAAUAAAUGGGGAAAUGAUUGGUUUUUUAUUAUUGUGCUCGCCAAGGAUUGGGGCCCUUGUGUCUAUGUAUCAUCAUCGGGGGAUGAAGAAUCAGAGCUUUGUAGUUCGAAGUAGAAAAUGUUUGUGUGUUGGUUGUUUUUACCUUGAAAAGGGGUUUUCGGAGUGAUGCCCUAAGGUGAAAAAAUAAGUUUUGAUGAGUUGAUGUUUUUUUUAUGGUUUGAAAAAAAGAGAUGGUUUUUUAUUAGAAUUGCACUAAAGGCUAUGGGUAGAGGUGAAUAUUUCAGACAAACAAGUCAAGCGUCUAGUGUCCAAAAUAUUCAGAGUGAAAGCUCCACUCUUACUCAUUCUCCACCACUUAAGGCUCAUGACGCACAAUUCUAAUCGUAUUUUUUUAUUGUAUUUUGAAUUUGAUUAAGAAAAUACCGAUUGACGUUGGAUCAAUGGUUUAUUGCUUAUUUAUUUUUAAAUGGUGAGAUACAUGGAUAUUUACAGGGAAACAAAUGCGAGAAAUGAAUGUGUCUCAUUGUAAGAUAGCCCAAGAGAAAGCUUUGUAUAUGCAAAGUGACCUAUGUUAACAAGUGGAAAAUGGGAUUAAGAGCAUGUCUCCCUAUGGUAGUUCCAUGAAUGUUAUUCUUACAAUAAAAGAUUAUAAGUCACAUAUGAAAUUCCAAGUUAGAGCAAUGGAUCAAGAAUCACAACAAAGUCCAAGUGAUGGGUCCUAAUGAAUCCUUUAAGUUCACAGUGGGUCACAAAUGAAUCCAGUUUUUGGUCUUGUGAUUUUAUCAUAUUUUUGUUCUUUUUGAUUAUGCAAUGAUAGUAAACAAAUGACAAUAAUAUAAAUAUGUAUGAUGUAUAUUCAAUGAUGAUGAGGAUACGCAUAAAGUGCUUGUAAAUAAAUAGUAAGAAAGUAAAUUACAAGAGAAUAAAUUAAGUCAACAAGUCAAUGGUUAGUGAUAGUAGUUAGUGGAUAGAAGUAAAAUUGCACAAGGUAACCACCUAGGGGUUAUCUAUCAACAAAUCAAAGGAUUCAAAAUAUGGCGCAUCAAGGGAUAAUCUAUCAUUGAUGAAAAUUAUUAAAGAUUAGCCAUGAUCAUCUAUCAAUAGAUUUGGAUUAAAGAAGGUUGAAACAUACUCAAGUCCAUCUAUCAAUGAUUUGAAGUGUGGAAGAUUUUAUCACCCAGGUAAUCACAAGUUAAACAUCCAAAUCCAAAUGAUUAGUUAUUAGUGAGCAAUGGAAACAAUGCAACACAAAGAAAUCAGAAAGAAAAGCUAAAGUAACUGAAGGUCUCAUCUAAACAUCAAGAGGUUCAAACAUGAUCAACUAAGGGCAAUCUAUCAAUACCUAAAAGUGUCAAUAAUGAUCCAUUAUUCAUUCAUCAACAUAUUUGAAGUAUUGAAGAUUUAAUCACCGCUAGGAUCAAUUACCAAUGAUCCAAAGAUUGUUAUCAACCAAUUAUCAGCAGUAAGGGUAAAAUGGUCUACAUAAAAAUGAUGAUAAUAAUAAUAAGAAGAAAC
RNAcentral lists this long non-coding RNA (2278 nucleotides) under Lathyrus oleraceus (garden pea). RNAcentral describes it as "Pisum sativum (pea) long non-coding RNA (PSAT_LNC029903)". The record is from RNAcentral. Lineage: Eukaryota; Viridiplantae; Streptophyta; Magnoliopsida; Fabales; Fabaceae.